AUGAACGCUGGCGGCGUGCCUAAUACAUGCAAGUCGAGCGAACAGAUGAGGAGCUUGCUCCUCUGACGUUAGCGGCGGACGGGUGAGUAACACGUGGAUAACCUACCUAUAAGACUGGGAUAACUUCGGGAAACCGGAGCUAAUACCGGAUAAUAUAUUGAACCGCAUGGUUCAAUAGUGAAAGACGGUUUUGCUGUCACUUAUAGAUGGAUCCGCGCCGCAUUAGCUAGUUGGUAAGGUAACGGCUUACCAAGACAACGAUGCGUAGCCGACCUGAGAGGGUGAUCGGCCACACUGGAACUGAGACACGGUCCAGACUCCUACGGGAGGCAGCAGUAGGGAAUCUUCCGCAAUGGGCGAAAGCCUGACGGAGCAACGCCGCGUGAGUGAUGAAGGUCUUCGGAUCGUAAAACUCUGUUAUUAGGGAAGAACAAAUGUGUAAGUAACUAUGCACGUCUUGACGGUACCUGAUCAGAAAGCCACGGCUAACUACGUG
RNAcentral lists this ribosomal RNA (496 nucleotides) under uncultured bacterium. RNAcentral's name for it is "partial 16S ribosomal RNA". It matches the Rfam family "Bacterial small subunit ribosomal RNA", at positions 29 to 507 of the family's 1533-position model. The record is from RNAcentral.